UACGAAGGGGGCUAGCGUUGUUCGGAAUUACUGGGCGUAAAGCGCGCGCAGGCGGCUAUCCAAGUCAGUGGUGAAAGCCCGGAGCUCAACUCCGGAACUGCCAUUGAACUGUUUAGCUUGAGGAUGAGAGAGGUGAGUGGAAUUCCCAGUGUAGAGGUGAAAUUCGUAGAUAUUGGGAAGAACACCGGUGGCGAAGGCGGCUCACUGGCUCAUUACUGACGCUCAGGCGCGAUAGCGUGGGGAUCAAACAGG
This 252-nucleotide ribosomal RNA is filed under the name uncultured bacterium. Its description in RNAcentral is "partial 16S ribosomal RNA". It matches the Rfam family "Bacterial small subunit ribosomal RNA", at positions 524 to 776 of the family's 1533-position model. The record is from RNAcentral.